This 700-nucleotide unclassified non-coding RNA is filed under the name uncultured beta proteobacterium. RNAcentral describes it as "partial contains 16S ribosomal RNA, 16S-23S ribosomal RNA intergenic spacer, and 23S ribosomal RNA". The stretch from base 587 to 700 matches the Rfam family "Bacterial large subunit ribosomal RNA", at positions 1 to 113 of the family's 2925-position model. The record is from RNAcentral. Lineage: Bacteria; Pseudomonadati; Pseudomonadota; Betaproteobacteria.
UCUAGAGUCGCACAACCUUGAGCGUUCACACUUAUCGGACUGUUGUCAAACAAAGAACAGUGAAGUCGGCAGUCACAGACAUACAAGCAGGUCUGUCGAAUGGUUGACUCGGUACUGAUCCAAACGGGUCUGUAGCUCAGUUGGUUAGAGCACCGUGUUGAUAACGCGGGGGUCGUUGGUUCGAGCCCAACCAGACCCACCAAGCAAUACCACGAAUUCGGGGGUUUAGCUCAGCUGGGAGAGCACCUGCUUUGCAAGCAGGGGGUCGUCGGUUCGAUCCCGUCAACCUCCACCAAAAUAUCAAACCUAAGUCGCUGCACCGGUAGCGCAGACGGAUUUAGGUUUGGUCUUUUAACGAUCAAUGGCUGUUUUUUGUUCUUUAACAAUUUGGAAGAAGUAGUAAAGAAUUUAUCAGUUGGACCUGGUGCGUUGUGAUGACGCGUUGGGAACAACUGGUGGGUUGUGAUUGUAUCAAUCAAACAAGUAGUAAAGAGUUCUCGCAUUCAAAAGCGAUCAAUCCCUGGACUACGGCACGCAAUACUCAACACUAUAACCGUUUCUGGCAGCACAGAAGUUAAGGUUAUAGGGACAAGUGACUAAGUGCACAUGGUGGAUGCCUUGGCGAUUACAGGCGAUGAAGGACGUAGUAGCUUGCGAUAAGCUGCGGGGAGUGAGCAAACACACUUUGAUCCGCAGAUUU